This 72-nucleotide transfer RNA is filed under the name Dierogekko insularis. RNAcentral's name for it is "tRNA-Asn". Lineage: Eukaryota; Metazoa; Chordata; Lepidosauria; Squamata; Diplodactylidae. The record is from RNAcentral.
UAGAUUGAAGCCCGCUGGCUUGGGUUUUUAGUUGUUAACUAAAGGUUUAUGGGAUCGAGGCCCAUCGAUCUA